AAUCAACGCUGGCGGCGCGCUUAACACAUGCAAGUCGAGCGAGAAAAGGGGGCAACCCCCGAGUAAAGCGGCGUACGGGUGAGUAACACGUGGAUUAUCUACCUUUUAGUGGGGAAUAACUUUGGGAAACCGAAGCUAAUACCGCAUAAGCCUGUAAAGGGAAAGCCCUAUUGUAAAAGAUGGGGCGCUGGAAUAAGAGUCCGCGGCCGAUUAGCUAGUUGGUGAGGUAAUGGCUCACCAAGGCGACGAUCGGUAGCCGGCCUGAGAGGGCACACGG
This 277-nucleotide ribosomal RNA is filed under the name uncultured bacterium. RNAcentral's name for it is "partial 16S ribosomal RNA". It matches the Rfam family "Bacterial small subunit ribosomal RNA", at positions 32 to 307 of the family's 1533-position model. The record is from RNAcentral.